This 206-nucleotide long non-coding RNA is filed under the name Lathyrus oleraceus (garden pea). RNAcentral's name for it is "Pisum sativum (pea) long non-coding RNA (PSAT_LNC007488)". The record is from RNAcentral. Lineage: Eukaryota; Viridiplantae; Streptophyta; Magnoliopsida; Fabales; Fabaceae.
CCUCUAAAGUGUUAGUUAUUUUUAAAAAAAUUGUUUGAAAAACAGUGGGUAUUUAAUUGGGAACCUGUUCGCAUGCUGCAAAAGUGUAAAAUUCAUAUUGAUUUCAUCCUUUAAUCCAAUGUUAUACACCAUUAAUCCAUUGAUAUAUACAACAUGAAUCCAUUUAUAUACAACAUUAAUCCUCCAUAUAUACAACAUUAAUAUAU